Molecule: long non-coding RNA, 875 nt
Filed under: Dromaius novaehollandiae (emu)
Lineage: Eukaryota; Metazoa; Chordata; Aves; Casuariiformes; Dromaiidae
Description: lncRNA (ENSDNVG00000011914.1)
Source: RNAcentral
ACGAAGCUGAUUCUGUUUCUAGACUCUCUUAACCAUUGUGUACUGUAUGAUGACUUUUUUUUUUUUUUAAACAAACUUUUUGUUCCAAUCUGGAAGCAAGAAAAAUCCUGUCUUCUGAGACUUUGGGGUAGUAGGGAAUCCAUGAAGCUUGGCCUCUACCCUCUCUCCGUUGGGAGUGCGUGCUGCAUAAGCAACUGCAGUUUGUCUCUCUCCCCCCAAAUGACAUGUGACUCUUACAGUGAGGUCCCUGUGAUUCUUGUCCGAUACUGAAACUGCUGAGAGCAGCUGGAGGAGCACRGGCAUUUUGAUUGCCCCAUGCUGUAGAAGAAAGCCUAAUUGUUAGUUACAGUGUAUGAAUUAAAACCAUGUAUGCAUUUUUGUUAGUUUUGCUAAACUCGACAGUUGUUGCCAAUGAUAGAUGUCUCUCAAAACAGGAAAUUGUUUCCAUUGUGUUUGAUUUUUCAUGAAAAUGUGUGAACACAUAAGUAUUCCUUGUAUUUCCCUCUUCAGCAUAUAACAUCAGUCAUUUCAACACCCCUAAAAGUGAAACAACUCCCUACUGAGAUGGCUCUUAACCAGGCUGAUGUUUAUCUGAUCACUUCCUCAGUCUGCUGCGAGAAAGAAAUCAAGCAUCUUCCUUCACACUGAGUGCUGGCACGUCACAGAAUUCCUCUGGGACUCCACAAAGCAGAAAAAACAGCACAAGCCGGAAUCUGUCCCUGUAUCCUGCAUAAGCUACCCAGCUUUUUUGUUCUCAUACCGGCUCUCCUCACUGCUCAGUUACACUGGGUCAUGUCUACAGUAAAUUUACAGAUUGUAAAUAGGUGGGAACUGGUAUCUGGUUUCUUUAUAAAUACUGUAAAUCAUGGGCAUGG